Molecule: ribosomal RNA, 301 nt
Filed under: uncultured bacterium
Lineage: Bacteria
Description: partial 16S ribosomal RNA
Rfam family: Bacterial small subunit ribosomal RNA
Source: RNAcentral
CAGCAGCCGCGGGAAUACGUAGGGUGCGAGCGUUAAUCGGAAUUACUGGGCGUAAAGCGUGCGCAGGCGGUUAUAUAAGACAGAUGUGAAAUCCCCGGGCUCAACCUGGGACCUGCAUCUGUGACUGUAUAGCUAGAGUACGGUAGAGGGGGGUGGAAUUCCGCGUGUAGCAGUGAAAUGCGUAGAUAUGCGGAGGAACACCAAUGGCGAAGGCAAUCCCCUGGACCUGUACUGACGCUCAUGCACGAAAGCGUGGGGAGCAAACAGGAUUAGAUACCCGCGUAGUCCCUGUCUCUUAUAC